This is a long non-coding RNA of Gossypium raimondii (Peruvian cotton), 460 nucleotides long. RefSeq lists it as uncharacterized. The transcript is spliced from 2 exons. The record is from RefSeq and is a predicted model, not a curated record. NCBI's taxonomy places the organism in Eukaryota, Viridiplantae, Streptophyta, Magnoliopsida, Malvales, Malvaceae.
UAUCCAAUUAAACACAUAUGAAAUUUAAAAUUCUCAUUUAAUUUCAAUUAUUCCUUCAUUUCAAAAAACAUUUUUUUUUCUGUUUACUGCCCAUCGCUCUGCCGUUCUUCUCUACCGACAAAGCAUCUAAGGUGGCCGAUCUGGAUUUCAUAUCUUAUUUUCUGCAAAAGAAAAAAAAAACGAAAAAGGUAAAAGAAACGGAGACGGGGAGAGAAUCGGAGUUCGUUCGUCACUACGCAUGCAAAGCGAAAACGAAAGCGAAAAGGAGAAGACCUCUCACCUUCGAUUUCCUCUCCUUUUUAUUUCAUCUCUUUUUUUUUUCAAUCUUCACUACCCAGUCACUUCUUUUUUUCGUUUUUCAAAAGCAUACGGUCUUUUUCUUUUCCGGUUUUUUCGACUGACUUCCCCCUCAUUUGUUUUCAGGUCCCCUCUUUAUACAUUUUCAUCGCUGAUUAUUGCU